UGAAUAUUCAGUGAGUGGCUUUGCAUUAAGUAAGUGCCCUUAAUCAGCUUUUCAGUUCAGUUUUAUUGGUUGCAUGCACAGUCAGUUAUUUCAUCCAGAAAAUCUGAAAGCCCUACAAAUGAACCAGGGACAGCAUCACUAUGUAGUUCUGGGCAUCCUGGAACUCACUAUGUAGACAAGGCUAACCUCUCAAGCGCUAGGAUUAAAGCCCUUCCCUUCUCCCUUCCCUGUCUUACCACUCCUAGGCAUAUAUCCAAAAGAGGCUCAAGUACACAGUAAGGAUAUUUGCUCAACCGUGUUUGUAGCAGCUUUAUUUGUAAUAGCCAGAAGCUGGAAACAUCCCAGAUGCCCCUCAACUGAAGAAUGGAUGCAGAAAUUGUGGUACAUCUACACAUCUACUCAACAAUGAAAAAUAAGGAAAUCAUGAAAUUUGCAGGUAAAUGGUGGGACCUGGAAAGGAUCAUCCUGAGUGAGCUGUCCCAGAAGCAGAAAGACACACACGGUAUAUACUCACUCAUAUAGACAUAUAACAUAGGAUAAACCUACUAAAAUCUGUACAUCUAAAGAAACUAAUCAAGAGAGAGGACCCUGAUGAAAACUCUCAUUCCCCAUCCAGAAAGGCAAAGAGGAUGGACAUCAGAAGAAGAAAACAGGAAACAAGUUUGGAACCUGCCACAGAGGGCCUCUGAAAGGCUCUGCCCUGCAGAUUUGUUCCUGUUCUUUUCCCUGGGUUUUCCAUCUCCAGGAUUCCCUCAGGUUUUGUUUUCUUUCUUGCUUCUACUUUCAUUUCCAGGUUUUGAACAGCUUUAUUCAUUUCCUUUACCUGUUUGGUUGUAUUUUCCUGUAUUUCUUUAAGGGACUUAUUCUUUUUUUUCUUGAAAGGCUUCUAUCAUCUUUAUAAGAUUAGAAUUAAGGCAGGGAUCUGAGGUGUAAGGGUCUCAUAUGUUUGUCCUGGGUGGCAGUAGGCUUAGGGAUGCGGAACUGAGCUGUCAGCUGGGAAUGAGAGAAUGGGGUUGGGCUCACUGCUGUUGGGUUUGCCAGGAGGACAGAGCAGGCUGGGAAUUGUGGAAUUGUGGGCAGAAGGUCUUACAUGGUGGUCCCUGGUGGCCAAAGACCUCUUGAAAUGCAGGUAGGUUUGUGAUCUAAUUGAUUAAGCAUGUAGGAGACAUGCUCAACACUGCUGGGCUUUUCCAAAACAACCUAAAUUAGUGUCGGGGUGACAAUUGACGGUGAUUUAGGAAACUGUAUAUGUUGGUGAUGAGUGUAAAGAAGAGUCAUCAAAAGGCAAGAAAAAGUUUCAAGACAGUAAAUGUCUUCAUCGUCUAGACAAUGUUUUCACAGACAAAAUUUCAAAAUUUGUAUCACAAACUUGUUGUAUGUUGUUUUGUAACAGUUUCCUCUGAAAUUGAAACAGCCCAUCCUUCAGGGAAUUCCUUAAACAGGAAAGUAAACAACUCAAAAUAGAUUCAAGAAGUUACUAAAACUGACAAGAUUCUCUAGGCCUUUCUCUCCCCCGGAGUAAACCAUAAAAGCUGAGAGUCUCUCUCAGACAAAGCGAACCUGAGCUGCCAAAACUCAGACAAGGAAAUCAGCAAAGAUUCUUGAAGGUAUAAAGUCCUCCCUCUUUCUUCAGAGAAGAUGCUAAGAAUGGAGCAGCUGUGUGGAAGAUCCGAGAGCCACCCAAGAUUCUGGAAGACAUUUCAACUUAGGCACCUGGAAAAGAUUCUUCUAACCUUGUAGAUCUGCCUGCAGGCUGUUCAGUGUGCUCAGAUUCCCAGUUCUGUGAGCUGUAACCCAUGUUGUGACAGGAUUUGGUGCUAUGCAGUCUUUGAGUAAUUUCUGCUACUGUAAGUAAUCCAUUACCCAUAUUCACGUAAGUACCCCCAACAAAACUCAUUGGUUCACCAAGUUGGAUUUUUAUGCUAUUUGAACUUUGGUCUGUUGUGGACUGACUAUUGGGAGUGACUAGGUGUAUGUAUUGAGACCUCCCCAGGAAAGGUUUUGGCAUACAGAGUAUGCACACAUUAUUUUCUGUACUAAAUUUGUUCUAGAAUUAUUUUUAGUACAAUAACUAAAGAACUUGUUUGUAUCUUUUUAAACAAAAAAAGAUCGAGUCAGAAGAAUAAAUGCAAACCACACCAGUCAGAAGAAUGGGUGAGUAACCCACCUGCCAGCAGAACUAUCCCACUCUCUAGACUAAGUUUCCAAAACUCAUACAACACCCAUCACUCUCCACAUCCUUCACAUACAUCCUACCACCUCACUACCUGCCCCACUGCUGGACCCUUAACCCACAACUCUGGUGGACUUCCUCUGAUCAAGGUAUAGACCACACCAGUAAGAAGUACAGACUUCUGCUUCUCAGCAGGUACAGACCACACCAGUUAGAAGAACAGAGACCUCCUGCCACACCAGAGGCCAAGUUAGCUGCCAGAAGUACAGCCUCCUACUUGGACAGAGAGUACCUACUGGAUCAAAGCUCACACAGGCCACCAGAAGUCCAGAUCAUUAAGACUGGAAGAUGAAAAAGGAAACAGAAACCAAGGAAUAAAAUGCCCAUCUGACAAAGAUAAACUUAGAAAUCAUCACCUAGACUUAUAAUCAUCCCAAAUGCAUAUCUCUAAACAUGAGUGUAAGAACACAGUCAACAGCAGCCAAUGCAAUAUGGCAACAUCAGAGCCCAGCUAUCCUUUGUCAGCAAGACCUGAAUAUUCUCAUGCAGCUGAAGCACAAGAAAAGACAUUAAAACCAACUUUAUGUAGAUGACAGAAGUCUUUAAAGAUAAAAAAAAUUUAAGAAUAACUUAAAGAAACUGUGGAAAAGACAAAAAAAGGAGGAAAUCAAUAAAUCCCUUAAAGAACACACAAGAAAAAAACAAACAGAUGAAGGAAACUGUUAAAGAUUUGAAAAUAAAAAUAUAAGUAAUAAAGAAAGCAAAAACUGAGGAAAUAGUAGAAAUGGAAAAUCUUGGUAAGCAAACAGGAAGUACAGAUACAAGUAUCACCAAUAGAAUACAAGAGAUGGAAGAGAGAAUCUCAGGGGAUGAAAUUCAUUCUCCUACCAAUUUCUCCUCUCCAACUCCUUCCACUCGCUUCCUUCUCCUCCUCUCCAGAGCAGGAUAUCCCAUCCUACUCUCUCCAUGGCUCAGCAUUGGCUGGUUGUUUUAUUGAAAUUACAGAGAACAUGUGGUGGCAUGUUCACACAAACUUUAAACAGGUGAUGUUUAGAAUAAACAUCACAAUGCAAUGUCCAGAUUGAAACCAGAUAGUGGGGUAGAGAAAUCAGCAUUGAAUGAACAAGGGUAAAUUGUAUACAUUCCACAAGAACAUUGACAACAGUCGAUAGAACAAAAUGAUAGUCCCAAAUAUGGGAAAAGAUUUUCACCAAAUCCACAUCUGACAGAGGGUUAAUAUCCAAAAUAUACAAAGAACUCAAGAAACUAGACAUCAAGAAACUAAAUAAUCCAAUUAAAUAAUGGGGUACAGAUCUAAACAGAGGAAUUUUUUUCUUUAAAUUUUUUUUUCUUCACAAUUUAUUCAUUGUAUAUCUCAACUAAAAUUCACUACCUCAACUCCCUCAGUCUCACCCUCCUCCCUCUUCCCCUCAUUCCCUUCCCCUAGUCCACUGAAAGGGGGAGUUCUCCACUAUUGCCAUCUACCCAUAGCUUUCUAAGUCUCAUCAGGACUGCUUGCAUCCACUUCCUCUGUGGUCUGGCAAAGCUGCAUCAUCAAGGGAGAGUGAUCAGAGAACAGUCAACUUAGUCCAUGAUCACUGCUACUCUGAGUGCAAACUUGAGUUGACAGAGGGAAUUUUUAACAGAGGAAUCUCAAAUGGCCAAGAAACACUUAAAGAAAUCUUCAACAUCAUUAGCCUUCAGAGAGAUGCAAAUUAAAGACUAUGAGAUUCUAUCUUUUUUUUUGUUUGUUUUGUUUUUUCCCAGAUCAUAUAUUUUUUUAACUUUUAUUAAUUACACUUUAUUCAUUUUGUAUCCAUCCCAUAAGCCCUUCCCUCCUCCCCUCCCAGCUCAAACACACGCUACCCCGCAUUUGCCCUUCUGCGCCUGCGAACUUUCCUUCUACAGGUAUAGCUCUCCUCCCAUUUCUGCAUGCAUGCCCCUCCCCAAGUCCACUGAUAGGGGAGGUCCUCCUCUCCUACUUUCUUUUUUUUUCCAUAAUUUUAUUUUU
Meriones unguiculatus (Mongolian gerbil) is the source of this 4184-nucleotide long non-coding RNA. RefSeq lists it as uncharacterized. The transcript is spliced from 3 exons. NCBI's taxonomy places the organism in Eukaryota, Metazoa, Chordata, Mammalia, Rodentia, Muridae. The record is from RefSeq and is a predicted model, not a curated record.